GACGAACGCUGGCGGCGUGCUUAACACAAGCAAGUCGAACGGUGAAGGAGAGCCUGCUCUCCGGAUCAGUGGCGAACGGGUGAGUAACACGUGGGCAACCUGCCCCAGACUUCGGGAUAACGCUUCGAAAGAGGUGCUAAUACCGGAUACGAACUCCUUGGGCAUCCUUGGAGUUGGAAAGUUUUUCGGUCUGGGAUGGGCCCGCGGCCUAUCAGCUUGUUGGUGAGGUAACGGCUCACCAAGGGGACGACGGGUAGCCGGCCUGAGAGGGCGACCGGCUACACUGGGACUGAGACACGGCCCAGACUCCGACGGGAGGCAGCAGUGGGGAAUGUUGCGCAAUGGGCGAAAGCCUGACGCAGCAACGCCGCGUAAGGGAUGACGGCCUUCGGGUUGUAAACCUCUUUCAGCAGGGAAGAAGCGAAAGUGACGGUACCUGCAGAAGAAGCACCGGCUAACUACGUGCCAGCAGCCGCCGUAA
This 481-nucleotide ribosomal RNA is filed under the name uncultured bacterium. Its description in RNAcentral is "partial 16S ribosomal RNA". It matches the Rfam family "Bacterial small subunit ribosomal RNA", at positions 28 to 523 of the family's 1533-position model. The record is from RNAcentral.